GUUAGAAUAAGGUUCGAGGGGUUGAAGUUCAGGAUGGUUGGGGGAUAGAAUAAGGUUUGGGGGGUGUUAAGACACCUCCCGUGUCUUUAAGUCAAACCGCCGUUUAGUAAACCUUCCCCGGCUGCAGUACCGUCUCUGUUCUCUUACUCUAUAAUCCACGAACGAAAUGCAGGGGAAGCGACAAUCUCCCGAUCGAAAUCCACGAACGGCUCCAAACUCCCGAACGGCAAUAUACGAACUGCUAGGAACCGUCGAACACUAAUAUCCCCAAAGCGGCUUUCGUUCCAUCCAGCAGUCUCUAAC
Non-coding RNA from Pelobates cultripes (western spadefoot toad), 303 nucleotides. The record is from the annotation of a GenBank genome assembly. Lineage: Eukaryota; Metazoa; Chordata; Amphibia; Anura; Pelobatidae.